This 944-nucleotide long non-coding RNA is filed under the name Trifolium pratense (red clover). Its description in RNAcentral is "long non-coding RNA (TPRA_LNC013060)". Lineage: Eukaryota; Viridiplantae; Streptophyta; Magnoliopsida; Fabales; Fabaceae. The record is from RNAcentral.
AACAUUACUAAAUGAAAUAAAAAUCAGAAGUUUAGGUUAUUCCUGCUAAAUAUAUGUUUGGAUCUCAACCCCAAGAGCUAGCUCAAAUAAUGAUAUUGCCUUCACAUAUUUAUAUACUUCAUAUCCCGGGAACCUAAGCAAUGUGGAACUUCAAACAAACUCCAACAACACAUGACAUAUUCAACACCCACCCUCAUACCUAGCGUGGUCCUGGGUCAGAUGCCCGCAUUACCCCUUAACCCGGCUCUGAUGCCAUGUUCAAGUCAGAUAUGCAAAAUAAGAUAAUAACAAGCGAGGCAACUAGGGUUACAUAACAUUACCAUUGCAUAACCCACUUGAGUGGUCUAGUGGUGUUGGCUUGUGUCCUUGGAGUAUGCUCCUCUCAAGGUUUCAGGUUCGAUUCCCCCUAGUGCCAAUUUCGGUGGGCUAAGUCCAUACAUAACAAAAAACAAUAGCUUUAAAUUGAGCCCCCACAAGUGGACGGUGAGAUUGGUCCCUUUGGAUUAGUCGGUCCUAAGGCUGGAUACCAAGUUUUUUUUUUUAAAAAAAAACAUUAUCAUUGCAUUACUUAAUAAAAAAGAGUAACAAAAAUUAUAUAGCAAAACCUAAAAGACUAUAAGUCUAAUAUCAUAACCAAGAGCAACAAUCAGCAGCCAAAAGAUCAUGUGAACCAUCUGAGAGAGUAAGCAACAUCCAAAGAGAAAAACAACAAUCAAUUAACCAAAUUGUGAGCACAAUCAAUAAAAAAAAAUCAAAUUGUAAACGGUUAACUCACCAAACAAACAAAUUCAAACAAAUUUUCAAAUUAAUGGAACCAAACCAACGAAGCCAAAUCAAACCGAACCAAACGAAAUCAAAUCAAAACAAGACAUACAAACCAAUAAACCAAAGCGAACCAAUCAAACCAAAUAAAACAGAACCAAACCAAACGAACCAAAUAGACC